CUCACCUAUAGAGAAGUCCUUAGGGUUAGAGGUCAGGGGUUAUAGGUCAGACUCACCUAUAGAGAAGUCCUUAGGGUUAGAGGUCAGGGGUUAGACUCACCUAUAGAGAAGUCCUUAGGGUUAGAGGUCAGGGGUUAUAGGUCAGACUCACCUAUAGAGAAGUCCUUAGGGUUAGAGGUCAGGGGUUAGACUCACCUAUAGAGAAGUCCUUAGGGUUAGAGGUCAGGGGUUAUAGGUCAGACUCACCUAUAGAGAAGUCCUUAGGGUUAGAGGUCAGGGGUUAUAGGUCAGACUCACCUAUAGAGAAGUCCUUAGGGUUAGAGGUCAGGGGUUAUAGGUCAGACUCACCUAUAGAGAAGUCCUUAGGGUUAGAGGUCAGGGGUUAGACUCACCUAUAGAGAAGUCCUUAGGGUUAGAGGUCAGGGGUUAUAGGUCAGACUCACCUAUAGAGAAGUCCUUAGGGUUAGAGGUCAGGGGUUAGACUCACCUAUAGAGAAGUCCUUAGGGUUAGAGGUCAGGGGUUAUAGGUCAGACUCACCUAUAGAGAAGUCCUUAGGGUUAGAGGUCAGGGGUCAGACUCACCUAUAGAGAAGUCCUUAGGGUUAGAGGUCAGGGGUUAUAGGUCAGACUCACCUAUAGAGAAGUCCUUAGGGUUAGAGGUCAGGGGUUAGACUCACCUAUAGAGAAGUCCUU
Molecule: long non-coding RNA, 693 nt
Organism: Coregonus clupeaformis (lake whitefish)
Lineage: Eukaryota; Metazoa; Chordata; Actinopteri; Salmoniformes; Salmonidae
Exons: 4
Source: RefSeq, a predicted model, not a curated record